GGGGCGCGGUUUAACGCUAGCGAGCGGGUGGGGGGUGGGUGUUCUCUUCUCCCACCAGCGGAAGUGGCCGUUGAAGCCGGCUGUAGGCAUGAAAAGAGCUUGGCGAGGGGGAAAGUCCAGCUGCUUCGGCUCCCUUCACUAGGUUUGGUGAUUGUCCCAGAGCUUCUGGACCCGGGAUCAGAGUGCGAAAAUCGCUCUAGCGGGAGGGAAGCCCAGGUAUCACUAUGGCAACCGCCAGCCCCUCUGGCCGCGUGACGUCACCCCUCUCUCUCUCCGCUUGAAGCGGCCUCUGCGAGAGGGAGCUGGGGAGUCCUCGAAGGGGGCUCCCCUCUCCUCCUUUAGUGUGGGACUAUUCCGCCCCGAUCCCUGGGAGGGCUUUGUUCUUUUGUUCCGGCCUAGGAGGAAGGACGCGAGCCGAGCCCCGCCCUGUUUGUCCACCUUCCAGCUUUUCCGCUCCGCAACAGGGCAGCCAGCUUCACUGUGUGUAAGGGCACAGACUCGUGCCGGACAUCUGGGCUCCAGAGAGAGGACCCCACUGGAGGGACGCUGCUUGGGAAACCCUGGUGUGCAGAUUUCAAGAGGAACGGGAUGAGCACCUGAGAUGGAAGAUCUGUCUUCUCCAGAGUCUGCCCUUCUCCAAGGGGGACAUACUUCACUCCCAUCAGCUAGUUUUCAGGUAAGUUGGGAUUUCCUCAAAUGUCAUUUCAGUCGUUAGAGUGGGAUUGUGUAUUCUUUUGCUGUGGGUUAUGUUUAGCUGAAAACCAAUGUUGGCAGUUCAUUCUGGGCUCCCAUCUGCCAACCACUUUUUUCUUAGCUCUGCCUCUCCAGCUUAACUAAUAUAUUCACCACUUAACUUCUUGCUUACGUCUUGCCAUGUGCCACUGAUGAGAGAGCAGAAGAAGUACAAAACUUGAUACUUUACCUGAAUAGACCAAAUAACUGCUAAAUAUUAAAAAGGUGAAAUGAGUACCAUGGAAAACAGAGACUCAACAAAAAUGUAUGUGGUCUGGAGGGGUUAGGAGAGUUUCUGCAGUUCUUGCUUCUUUCCUCUGUAGCUCUCUUCCCUACAGUACUCUGUGUGAACUCUAGUCACCUUGACUUCCCCAAACUCUCAGCAUUACCUCUUCAGUUCAAGGAGUCUGCUGGGUCGCUUCUGGGUUCCCCUUCCCUGCACCCCUGCCUGGACACUCUCAAGGUAGUAAGCUGGAGCAGUUGUAGGGCUAACUUCAUUUGUUUACUGAUUCUUGGGGAUCACUGUUCUUUGUUAUCUGAGAUUCAGUGCCUUGGAAACUGUUGUUUCAUAUGUUUUGUCUGGAAUUUGUUGGUUAUUUUAAUGCAGGAGGGUAAAUUCAGUCCUUGUUAAUUCCAUCUUGGCCACAGCUUGAUCCUUUUGAGGUUU
This 1399-nucleotide long non-coding RNA is filed under the name Delphinapterus leucas (beluga whale). RNAcentral describes it as "lncRNA (ENSDLEG00000016310.1)". The record is from RNAcentral. Lineage: Eukaryota; Metazoa; Chordata; Mammalia; Artiodactyla; Monodontidae.